RNAcentral lists this long non-coding RNA (277 nucleotides) under Musa acuminata (dwarf banana). Its description in RNAcentral is "long non-coding RNA (MACU_LNC004274)". The record is from RNAcentral. Lineage: Eukaryota; Viridiplantae; Streptophyta; Magnoliopsida; Zingiberales; Musaceae.
UCAUCCUUCUCAUAUUUGGUUGCUGCUGCAGCAGUAGCCUAUUGUUCUUAGUUGCAGAAUUCCACCACUACUGCUACAUCUAUUACUAUCUAUCUAUUACUACUACUACUAUAACUGCUAUUACUGAGUGGUUAAGAAUAAAGAACAGCUACAAAGUGAUGCCUCUUUAAGAGAAGUACUUCCCAUAUCUUUUGCUGCUAAUUAACUUGACCUCAACAAGGAUUGUAUGUUCAGCUAGCAAUGUUAGUGUUUGAGUUUGUGCAUUGUUGCAUCAGUG